Armillaria luteobubalina is the source of this 103-nucleotide non-coding RNA. The record is from the annotation of a GenBank genome assembly. Lineage: Eukaryota; Fungi; Basidiomycota; Agaricomycetes; Agaricales; Physalacriaceae.
GACUCCAUAGCUAAGUGGUUAUAGCAUGAGAUUGCAGCGGUUACCGCAAUGGUCCAAGCAUCAUUUAAUCUCGGGGUCGCGUGUUCGAGUCACGCUGGGGUCU